This 86-nucleotide transfer RNA is filed under the name Fusarium duplospermum. It matches the Rfam family "tRNA". Rfam says of the family: Transfer RNA (tRNA) molecules are approximately 80 nucleotides in length. Their secondary structure includes four short double-helical elements and three loops (D, anti-codon, and T loops). Further hydrogen bonds mediate the characteristic L-shaped molecular structure. tRNAs have two regions of fundamental functional importance: the anti-codon, which is responsible for specific mRNA codon recognition, and the 3' end, to which the tRNAs corresponding amino acid is attached (by aminoacyl-tRNA synthetases). tRNAs cope with the degeneracy of the genetic code in two manners: having more than one tRNA (with a specific anti-codon) for a particular amino acid; and 'wobble' base-pairing, i.e. permitting non-standard base-pairing at the 3rd anti-codon position. RNAcentral also lists the same sequence under 2 other names. Lineage: Eukaryota; Fungi; Ascomycota; Sordariomycetes; Hypocreales; Nectriaceae. The record is from Rfam by way of RNAcentral.
GCCCGGUUAGCUCAAUCGGUAGAGCGUGAGACUCUUAUUAAGAGUACACAAUCUCAAGGUUGCGGGUUCGACCCCCGCAUCGGGCU